Papilio polytes (common Mormon) is the source of this 298-nucleotide long non-coding RNA. RefSeq lists it as uncharacterized. The transcript is spliced from 2 exons. NCBI's taxonomy places the organism in Eukaryota, Metazoa, Arthropoda, Insecta, Lepidoptera, Papilionidae. The record is from RefSeq and is a predicted model, not a curated record.
AUCCCUCAUUGUCAAAAUUAUUUCAUGAUGUUUGGUGAUUUAGAAGCAAAAUUGUAGUAUUUAACUUUAUUGUUCAACUAAAAUAAACAAGCAAAUUUAAAAUGUGUUGGCUAGCGUGGGCUGUCGCUCUAACAAUGUUUUCCUAUAUGUUUGCAAAACCCUAAAUAAAAUGAACUCAAGCAACCGCAUACUGCAAAACGGAUGAAUGAAUUGGGAUAAAGAAUAAUAACACAUCCUUUAGAUGAAUAUCUUUAUCUUAGAAAUAGAAUGUUAGUUUGAAAUAAACACCUUAUAUUAA